Molecule: ribosomal RNA, 483 nt
Filed under: uncultured bacterium
Lineage: Bacteria
Description: partial 16S ribosomal RNA
Rfam family: Bacterial small subunit ribosomal RNA
Source: RNAcentral
AUUGAACGCUGGCGGCAUGCUUUACACAUGCAAGUCGAACGGCAGCGCGGGCUUCGGCCUGGCGGCGAGUGGCGAACGGGUGAGUAAUACAUCGGAACGUGCCCAGUAGUGGGGGAUAGCUCGGCGAAAGCCGGAUUAAUACCGCAUACGACCUGAGGGUGAAAGCGGGGGAUCUUCGGACCUCGCGCUAUUGGAGCGGCCGAUGGCAGAUUAGCUAGUUGGUGGGGUAAAGGCCUACCAAGGCGACGAUCUGUAGCUGGUCUGAGAGGACGACCAGCCACACUGGGACUGAGACACGGCCCAGACUCCUACGGGAGGCAGCAGUGGGGAAUUUUGGACAAUGGGCGAAAGCCUGAUCCAGCAAUGCCGCGUGUGUGAUGAAGGCCUGCGGGUUGUAAAGCACUUUUGGCGGGAACGAAAAGGACUGUGCCAAUACCACGGUUCGAUGACGGUACCCGCAGAAUAAGCACCGGCUAACUACGU